This 812-nucleotide small RNA is filed under the name Pongo abelii (Sumatran orangutan). RNAcentral's name for it is "retained intron". Lineage: Eukaryota; Metazoa; Chordata; Mammalia; Primates; Hominidae. The record is from RNAcentral.
AGAAGCUCCCCAGCGUCGCCCUAGGCUGGGACUCUAGUGGGUCUUCGGCUCAGUUUUGGCUGCAGCGCCCGCGUAGGUCGCUUCGGCCGGGUUCUACGCCCGGCUCGACUAUGAGCCGGUGCGCCCAGGCGGCGGCAGUGGCGGCCACAGUGCCAGGUGCCGGCGUCGGGAACGUGGGGCUGCGGCCGCCCAUGGUGCCCCGUCAGGCGUCCUUCUUCCCGCCGCCGGUGCCGAACCCCUUCGUGCAGCAGACGCAGAUCGGCUCCGCGAGGCGGGUCCAGAUUUUCCUUCUUGGGAUUAUCCUGCUUCCAAUUCGUGUCUUAUUGGUUGCGUUAAUUUUAUUACUUGCAUGGCCAUUUGCUGCAAUUUCAACAGUAUGCUGUCCUGAAAAGCUGACCCACCCAGUAACUGGUUGGAGGAGGUAAGAAAUAAUUUUGUCCAAAAUAUUAGGACAUAAUAUUAAAUUAAGAUAUAUUAAAUCAAUGUAAGAAGAGUUCAUCAUAGUUUAGUCAGUGAUCUAACUGCUGUUAGAUAAAAUAUUUUAUCUGCCUACUCAAUAAUAAAUAAUUUAUUUUUAUUUCUCAUAUGAAAUACGUAGAAAUUACUGCCCAAAUGCCAACUACAUUAUGAUAAUCUUCUAAAAGUUAUAAUUUCCUAAUGUUAAAAUAUUUUGUUUUCUGAGUUAUUGCCAAAUGCGAUACAUCCCUAGUUCGGAAAGAUACCCAGCUACUAUACUUGAAACCACUGAAGCUACAAAAUACCUUGCUCUCUUCUGCUCUUCCUCAGUUUUCACAUUUGCUUUUCUCCCUCUA